RNAcentral lists this ribosomal RNA (269 nucleotides) under uncultured bacterium. RNAcentral's name for it is "partial 16S ribosomal RNA". It matches the Rfam family "Bacterial small subunit ribosomal RNA", at positions 85 to 354 of the family's 1533-position model. The record is from RNAcentral.
UUAUAGUUUAGUGGCGGACGGGUGAGUAACACGUGAGCAACCUGCCUUCGAGAGGGGAAUAACGGCUGGAAACGGUCGCUAAUACCGCAUAACAUACAGGAGGGACAUCCCUUUUGUAUCAAAGAUUUAUCGCUCGAAGAUGGGCUCGCGUCCGAUUAGGUAGUUGGUGAGGUAACGGCCCACCAAGCCGACGAUCGGUAGCCGGACUGAGAGGUUGAACGGCCACAUUGGGACUGAGACACGGCCCAAACUCCUACGGGAGGCAGCAG